AUUUAGGUGGUGAGAACGAGAACACGGACACUUGAGCUCCUUGUGUACAAUCUCUCGCGCCUUCUGUUUUCAGUGCACAGGUUCUUCCUAGAAGCAGCGAGAGUAUUAGAGGUGGCAAGGAUUCUGUGUUUUCUCGUUUGUUAGAAAGUAGAGUUUUUGUUGUAUAGUAGUUUAGCUCUUUUGUUGUAUAGGAGGAAUCAAUUGUACUUGAUCGUUUGAGCACAGAUGUAAUUCGGUACCUUAGUUUGUUUUGAACCCCAGUUGUAUGUCUUUGGGGUUAGGUUUGUAAUAAGAGUUUUGCUAAACGUUUAGCUAUGUAAUAUUUACACGUAUACCUUAAGUUUCAACCAGGUGGUAAUUU
Long non-coding RNA from Quercus lobata, 361 nucleotides. RefSeq lists it as uncharacterized. The transcript is spliced from 2 exons. NCBI's taxonomy places the organism in Eukaryota, Viridiplantae, Streptophyta, Magnoliopsida, Fagales, Fagaceae. The record is from RefSeq and is a predicted model, not a curated record.